AUAUGAUGCAAAAUCAAACAUGAACUACAGAAGUCGUUGAAUAAAGUAUUUGAGUGGUUGAAUUCUCAUCUUGUUGACGACGUUUCUACUUUUAGGAAGUAUUUCCUUAUUUGCUUCUCUCUCAGAUAGUACUUCCAAAGGUUGAACAUGCAGCAAACUGACGAAGAGGUUGAACACUGUUAUGAAGAGUUUUAUGAUGAUGUACAUACAGAAUUCUUGAAGUUUGGGGAAACUGUGAACUUCAAGGGCGCUUCCUAUAGUUUUUAAUAUGUUGUGUUAGCAACUCAGUUGAAUAAGAAAGUGUUUAAUGGUGAUGCUCGUAAAGGAUCUGUGGUUCAAAUGAUCGAUUACAAUGUAAUACUAUUCAGACUCAGAAUUUGUUGGAGUGAAAGUUGCAUAUGUACUCUCUUAGGGAUUGAAGGAGAUUGCUUGUAUCUGUGAGACUAUUGAACAACAAAAGAUUGAUUUUGUUACUAGGUUGCUGGCUUCAGUGAGGAUAAUUAUGAUGAGGAGCAUGAGGGAGAUGAUAUUGAUGCAAAACAUACAAUGGUUUUAACAGAUGAAAUUCUUUCUUUAGCGGGCAGAUAUCCAAGCAUUUUGGAAUCGAGGAAGACAAGAAGGGAAGAGAACAUUUCUGUUGUAGGAUAUAGCGGCUUAUUUCGAGGAUUUCGUUUUACAUAUCUAGUUUUUUGACUCGUUUGUUGUGAAUAACAAGC
Molecule: long non-coding RNA, 716 nt
Organism: Papaver somniferum (opium poppy)
Lineage: Eukaryota; Viridiplantae; Streptophyta; Magnoliopsida; Ranunculales; Papaveraceae
Exons: 6
Source: RefSeq, a predicted model, not a curated record